Long non-coding RNA from Manduca sexta (tobacco hornworm), 3085 nucleotides. RefSeq lists it as uncharacterized. The record is from RefSeq and is a predicted model, not a curated record. Lineage: Eukaryota; Metazoa; Arthropoda; Insecta; Lepidoptera; Sphingidae. The transcript is spliced from 3 exons.
UAUUUAUAUUAUUUUACAAAAUAUAAUUAUUAUAAUAUCUUAAGUAAAAAGAUAUUAUAGUGUAAGUUUUAACCACCAAUCGUUUUGUAAAUAUUUGAUACAUACCAACCUAAACUUUAUGUAAAUACCAAUUUAUCACAAAGGCACGUUACGUUAUUUACGUUGUGUGUUUCAAUACGUAAAAUUAAAUGCACAAGAAAUGUAUAUAAUAAGUCAGAUAUUAUAUAAAGUAAUUAUUCUAUACAAUACAAAAUAAAUCUGCAUUGGAACUAGCUGUUUGUAAACGGACUGGUUUUGGAAUGUCAUUUUAAUACCAAUAGAAUGCAUUUAGUGCGCCGAGUUACGUCAAGCUAUCUGCAGUUCCUAUUCGUGUGUUUCAUUUUGUGGAAAAAUAAAGUACCUACUUCUAACAUCCAUCUGGCCGUGAAGGUCAGGUCUCUUUCUUUUUUUUAUUUAAAGAACGUAGGUUCAAACUGCGAAGAGCCUUAUAAAAGAAACCAAUUUGCCAUCAAGUCAGAGCGAGAUCCUGGAGGCUGGAACGCGAUACGUCAGAGCGUUCGACCGUCAACACAACACGAUUUGCGAAAUUGAACGGAAGGGCCGCUACUAUUUUGUCGGGUAAUCUUUAUAAUACCAGCGGCCGGAGCAAGGAUUUAUAUUGGUAAUUCCAAUAAAAUAGACGCUUUGAAUCUUUUUCGUUUUGUCGAUAAACGGUCCAUCGACAUUCAGCCUCACCCAUUUUUCUUUUUAUUUCCUGCGUAAUGGUGGAUAAAUAUUUUUAUGUGUUGUUUAAAAAUGAAUUUCAAAGGAGAUGUCGGCGAGAUGAGCCUCAUAUAUAAUUAAGAAGGUAUUCUCCGCAAAGUUAAUAUCAAGUUGCAUUGGUUGAAUCUUGCGGGGUUGUUCACGACCCUCGUCACGGCGCGCGCUCGUCAGACGCACCGUGGAAUCUGCCCGAGCUUGUUCCGUCACUCGUGUUUUGGUUAUAACCGCUGCGUCUUUAAGAUUUCAUGUGUUCGCAAACAUGUUUAAUGGCAUUUGAAUAAUGUAGUCCAGAAUUGUUCAUGACUUGUACACGUGAAUUAUGCUUGGAUCAUAAACGGCAAUGUAGCGUCGGGAAGUUAUGUCGUGUGAAUUUUGAAAAGAAAUAGAAUAUUAUAUUUUAUACUAUUGUUUAAUAAUAAAGCGAUCAACCUCUUUAGCUUUCAUGUAUUAUGAAAUCUAUUAUCGGCAUUUCCAUGUCGACCUUCAUUGGAGUAUUGAGCGGUUCACUAUUCAAACAAUGCCAAUUGUCAUUUUAUGUUAAUAGAACCUACCCAGUAAAUUUAAUGGAUGACUGAAUUGAAAUUUAACAAUAUCACUGUUAUAGUUCAUGAAUAGUUUAUUUUAUAAAUGAGUUUUUAGGUAACAAACCGAUACAAAUCUAAGAUUACUUCUAUAUCCACUAAUAAGAGGGAGAGGUAACCUUUUUCCUUAUUAUUAUACUUACAAGUAAGGAGUACUAUUGCGAAAACAGCCACAUUUGGCUAUAACAAUAAUCGUAAAUGCAAUAUAGAAACAGAAUUUUGUCGGUAAUAAAAAUAAUGGGAUUUAUUUAACUUAUAUCAAAUAGAUAACUUUAUAACAUACAAAAGAAUGUAAAGGUGACGAUAUGUUCGUAUUUGAAUGUUUUUUUACAAGAUCUCAAACCAAAUAAUGUCAAACUGUUAUCUUGUAAUAUGCCAUAAUAUAUGCUCAUGCCGGAUCGCAAAACAUUAUCGCUGCUUCAGAGUUGAGACAGUUGACUCAAUCUCAAGGCGCCUGUUAUCUGAUAUUUACUAAUUUGUCGUGUUACUUACGUUUACUAUAUUGUAUAUGAUAAGGUAGUGAUCGGCAUGUAAAUGGCUAAUUCCUCUUGCAAUGUGGAUUCAAUUAAGCAGUUCGUUUUUUGGAUGACUUCUUUCGUUUUGGUCCAUAAAAAAUCGAACAAAUUAAAGCGGUUAUAAAUUGUAAUUACGAAAGUACAGAUUCGCAAGCCAGGUCAUUGGGUAAUCAGUGGGUCCAUUAAACCGUACGUACGGAGCUAUCUAGCGGCGCAGCUGCGGGUUGCAUUAGUGGCUCUGUUUCUAAAUCGAACCCCGGCGCGGCACGGCGCACUGAUCUCAACCACCGCAUUCAUACUAAUGGCCUAUGGAGCAAAUCCCACUUCUAUCGUUAUUGAGAUUCGAUACACGAAAAAUUCCGUGAAAGGCAAACAAAUCCAGCAAUUACGAAACGUUUGUACGAAUCUAGUGGUCUGGUUUGAUAUUUUGUAGUAAAGUGCAUUCCCGAUGCAGAGUGGCAUCUCACGUUUGUUUAGCGUAAAAUAUUCUACUAUAGUUCUAUUAAUAGUUACAUGUGUAAUUUUAUGAAAUUUGUUAGCCGAUUUCGCAUAAACAGUUAAACGGAUUUUGGUAUUUGGCACACAGAUAAACUAAGUAUUGGAUUAACACGUCGACUAUUUUUGAAGCCAGUAAUACGAUACCGUAUUUUUAUUCCGACAAAAUACUCUAACAAGGAUGGCGCUGCAGAAGAGUGUUAUACUAAGUUUCCAGUACGACAGAAAUUGCGACACAAGUGUCAGGGAUUAAUCUCUUUAAUGUGUACAAAUUUGUGCACACAACCGCUGAUUCAACAUUAAAUAUUGUGUAACAAUAAACGUCACGAUUAGAUACACCGGUAUUCAUAUAUAAGGUGUAUAGCUACUUCACAUGUUUGGUUUACAGUGUUUUAGUCUAAAAUUGACUUAAUAAUUCCAAAAGUAGGGAAUCAGGCUUCUUUACUCGUGUGGAGAAAAUCCACUUGAUCCCUGUCACAAACAAUUAGUUUGAUUUGGAAUUAAAUUAAAACUCGUGUUAAUUCUUUUGAGUACGAGCGAGCGGCAGUACUAAUUUGAAAUAUUCAAUUUCAAUUGAACUCUCCGAUAUACAACAUAAGUUUUAAUUUUAAAUGUACAUAUAUCGCAAGGAUCUCCACAAUAAAAUGUUAUUAAAUACGCAAUAAAUACACCCAACAGUCAAAUAUAUUCUCCUGAUCCCACGAUAUAUUUCCGUGUGUCAUGGGUAUCAGA